RNAcentral lists this small RNA (660 nucleotides) under Vincetoxicum forrestii. RNAcentral describes it as "eukaryotic LSU rRNA". The stretch from base 244 to 399 matches the Rfam family "5.8S ribosomal RNA". The record is from RNAcentral. Lineage: Eukaryota; Viridiplantae; Streptophyta; Magnoliopsida; Gentianales; Apocynaceae.
CGGAAGGAUCAUUGUCAAAUCCUUGUACCGAAUGACCUGCGAACACGUUCCGAAAAUCACGAGCGCUGUUGCGCCCUUGCUCGGUGCGGGUCGGUGACUUGUUGCCGGACGCGUCGAGCAUCGAAAACAAAAUCCGGCGCGGGAAGCGCCAAGGACUAGCGAAAUAGAGGAUGGCCUUCCCGCGGCAUCCCGGCAUGCCGCGGGGAUUAAAGGGUCUCCAAAUGAAAAUGUUGUACACAGUACGACUCUCGGCAACGGAUAUCUAGGCUCUCGCAUCGAUGAAGAACGUAGCAAACUGCGAUAGUUGGUGUGAAUUGCAGAAUCCCGUGAACCAUGGAGUCUUUGAACGCAAGUUGCGCCCGAAGCCAUUAGGCCGAGGGCACGUCUGCCUGGGCGUCACGCACUGCGUCGUGCCCCCCUCACCCGUGUCCCGAAAGGGUCGCGGGCCUUAGGGGUGGGGGCGGAAGUUGGCUUCCCGUGCAGCGUUUGCGGCUAGCCCGAAACAACGGUUCCCUCGGCGCGGACGUCGCGACAAGUGGUGGUCCGUCGAGAUUGUACGCGAGUUGCCGGCAAGCUGCGUCGAGGAGAGCAUUUGGACCCCGUGCGAGACGAGUCCCUUCGGCGAGGGGCAAUCGCAACGAUUGCGACCCCAGGUCAGGC